UCCUCCCUCUGGCGGCAGGCUUAACACAUGCAAGUCGAAGGGUGACGCGCUCUAAUGUUUGGUUGGUGUGGAUGAGGGGCGAACGGGUGGUGAACACGUGAGAAACAUGCCCCCUUCUUCUGGAUAACCGCAUGAAAGUGUGGCGAAUAAGGGAUAUUCUCCGCCCGCUAAAUGGUGGGUGUGGGAUAGAAUGUGCAUCUGGGUGGUUUCGGGGGGGGAUGGGCUUGCGGCCUAUCAGCUUGUUGGCGGGGUGAUGGCCUACCAAGGCAGUGACGGGUAGGCGGUCUGAGAGGGUGGUCCGUCACAUUGGGACUGAGACACGGUCCAGACUCCUACGGGAGGCAGCAGUGGGGAAUAGUGGUCAAUGGGCGCAAGCCUGAUCCAGCGACGCCGCGUGAGGGAUGGAGGCCCUCGGGUUGUGAACCUCUUUUGACAGUGAAGCAGGGCUGGUCCCUGUUGUUGUGUUGACGGUAGCUGGUGAAUAAGCGCCGGCUAAGUACGUG
This 503-nucleotide ribosomal RNA is filed under the name uncultured bacterium. Its description in RNAcentral is "partial 16S ribosomal RNA". It matches the Rfam family "Bacterial small subunit ribosomal RNA", at positions 34 to 507 of the family's 1533-position model. The record is from RNAcentral.